GCAAGUGAAUCUAAAGUCCACAGUCACUAACUCUAAAUCCCAAACCAGAAGCAGGCCCCUCCUCCUCUUUGCUACGCCCUGCGCCUGCGCAGGCUUCCCACCGCAGCCGCACUAGUGCACCAAUCCCAAACCAGACAGUCCUCCAAAUCCUUGAAGUUUCAGAUUGGCUCCAGGUCGGAAAGGAACCAAAGAGAGGUUGAUCUGGCUGGUGACUUCCUGUGAGCUGUCUGGGCACCAGUUUGAUCCUGGAAUUGGAGCCUGGAGGAGCUCCCUCCUUGAGACAGUCACGUGGGGUGAGUGAUAAGACUGACUUCCCUUUCCCUUGAGUCUCAGGGGAGGUCCCCUUGGCCAAGGCCUUUAAUGCCUGCUAGCUCAGUCUGAACCGGAGCAGUUUAAAUUAACUCUUUCCCUCUCUCUCUUUCUUAAUUCCUUCUCUCUAUAGUAAUUAAAAU
RNAcentral lists this long non-coding RNA (452 nucleotides) under Monodelphis domestica (gray short-tailed opossum). Its description in RNAcentral is "lncRNA (ENSMODG00000045845.1)". Lineage: Eukaryota; Metazoa; Chordata; Mammalia; Didelphimorphia; Didelphidae. The record is from RNAcentral.